RNA transcript from Bombyx mori (domestic silkworm), 37453 nucleotides. It is a transcript of the gene named putative nuclease HARBI1, with no coding region annotated. The record is from RefSeq and is a predicted model, not a curated record. The transcript has 7 exons. Lineage: Eukaryota; Metazoa; Arthropoda; Insecta; Lepidoptera; Bombycidae.
CUGUCGCCCCCUUCUGCGUGACAGUGUGUGCCCCCCCCAGAAACGGUGGGGCAGCGUGCGGCCGAUCGCUCGACCGCACGGAGGGAUUCUCCCCCCGCGGAGCGGGAGGUACCCUCCUGGGGUAUUACUUUUCUCACAGAUGCCAUUUCAUGUUUUGUUUCCUUUUUUAUUAACCAGGGGUCGGUCCCCUGGGGUCUGGUUGGUACCCUCGGGACUGGACUCCCUCCAGCCAUUCAUCCCAUCGCCGGGCACCAGAGCUUAGGAUUGGGGCAUUUUUUAAAGAGGUUUACGUCCUCGCGGCCCCGUGCCUCGCGGCAGCGGCCCCCGUCCCCCACGCGGUGAGGAUUACGGGUUGGCCGGCGGCCCGCCGAGUGCAACGAGCAACACGACAGACCACCGCCCGACGCUCAUUAGAGCAACAACCACGAAGCCACGCCGGUAUACCGGUACCCCCCUCUGGAGGGCGUGCCCCUGUAGCCGAAGCCGGGGACAUGGCGACCAGCGGCCGGAAGAUGCGUAAGCAACGCCGGCUCACUUCUCCAUCAAAGGGCAGGCCAAAAGUGGCCCACCACCACCCGUGGGUUACGUCCGAAACGGGUCGGACGUGACCCGAAGAAAAAAGAAAAAGGGGGAAGAAAGGGGAAAAGAGAGGGAGCCCGAGCGUCUCCAGGAGGAGCUCCCUUCAGCGAGUGAAGGGCGUGGAGAGCCCGCAACUCCCCCUGCUGGUUUUGGUCCGCGUCAUCCGAUCUCUUUCGUUGCAAAGCCUAACUAGGCUACCCUACUCCUACACCUAGCCUACCUACCUAACACCUAGAAAUCCUUGCAACGAAAAAGACCGGACGAUACCCCUGGGAGUGGGACUGUUCCCAGAGGAUCCCGUUAUCCGCCACCUACGGACGCGCCCGGUGGAAGUCCAGCAAAACUCCCCCACAGACGGAGCCCCCGGCCACGCAGAGUACGCGCCGGGGGGCCCGCCCAGGUCCCUCGGGCCAUUGAACUAUCCUGUCCAUUAUGACUAUUAUUAUUAUUAUUAGGGUUGAAUAAAGUAGCAGCGUUGGUCGGUAUGGUUAAAUUUGAUUGAGAUAACACAUAAAACACAUAAACACAUAAAAACACGUUUAGGUAAUACUUGGCCGUCAAAUGUCAAUACAACUGUUUAGGAGGGUUUCCAAGUUGGUUCAUUAUUUACAAAUUACCUUAUAAUUUAAACGACUGACUUUAAUUAUAUCAACACAUCCCAUAGGCACAUUAGUAUUUUCCUUAAUAUCUUCGGGAGACCACUUAGUUGGAACUCCCCUUACUAAUCCCAUUCCGGUAAUAUUAAAGGUGGGUAUAUAUGCUUUCAACCUAUUUUCAGAUAAACAAUUUGACUGGAGAAAGCUGUUGGCGUCUAAAUAAUUAUGAAAAGAAAGAUACAUUUUGUUUCUUCCUAUCCUUUUCAAACUGCCAUUUACAAUUUUUUUAAAAGCAUUUUUUUAAAAACCUACCGAACACAAUAGGAUGCAGAUUGGUGCCGUCGUCUUCCGCAGACUGUAUUUUAUAAACAUCCACAAUGUAAGGGCCAUGAUCAUUGCAAUCAUAACUAGUCCUGCCUAUUUGUGUGGGAGCUUGGGAAGGAGAAUUAACGUUAUCGGGAGUAGAAGAUGGUAAAUUAUUCAUGGGGACCUUUUUAAACUAAUCAUUACAAUGACAAUCAGUGUUUUUGAAUGCAUCAUUAUUAUGUUUCCUUUUCCUCUUAUUACAUUGCUUGCAUAUCCUAUGAAGAUAAUUCCGUUUUAAUUUUCGUUUGGAUACAGACGAAUAGUCGGAAUCCAUUCCAGAUUCGUUUGAAAUUGUAACAAAUGGUCCCACAGGGGGCACUGUGCCCCCUGGGUCUGGCGGCUCGUUCAUAAAAGUAUUCAGAAAAAACUUACCCUACGUAGAAAAGACAAAUAAUAAAUAUAGGAAUAACACUAAUCUAAAAUUCACAACUUAGAACUAUUCUGAUUACUAAUUACAAUAAAUCUACAAUUUAAUUUGAAAAAUAAUUUAAAAACCGCGCCCGCCAAGUUCGAAGGUUUCCCGCGCUUUUUCGUCUGAUUUUUUAUUAGACGAAGUCAACUGACGUUUACUGUGUUGUCAGUUUUUGAUGAAAUAAAAAUAGUGUUGUGACAAAGUGAACGAUUGAAAAAACUCCUGAAUUAAUGAAAUUGCCUCGAUUGUCUAGUGAAUAGUCGGUGUGCCGAAUUGCCGAUAUCGGGUACGGGGUUCGAAUUUUAGGCGUGCUUUGUACAUACCAACGACUUUUCGACGAAAUAUUAUGUUCCUAUAGUAUCUACCUGUACCGAAUAUCGAGUGUUUUAAACAUUAAGAAAAACAUUGCGAGGAAGCUUGUAAGACUGUCCUAUUUCCAAUAAAUCAUAUAGUUGAAACUAUAGAUGUAUAAAAUAUAACAAUUAUUGGUAGUGGUAAUUAUAGGUAUAUUGAAGUCGUCGUGGCCUAAAGGAUAAUACGUCCGGUGCAUUCGUAUGAAGCGAUGCACCGGUGUUCGAAUCCCGCAGGCGGGUACCAAUUUUUCUAAUGAAAUACGUACUCAACAAAUGUUCACGAUUGGCUUCCACGGUGAAGGAAUAACAUCGUGUAAUAAAAAUCAAACCCGCAAAAUUAUAAUUUGCGUAAUCACUGGUGGUAGGACCUCUUGGGAGUCCGCACGGGUAGGUACCACCACCCACCCUGCCUAUUUCCGCCGUGAAGCAGUAAUGCUUUUCGGUUCGAAGGGUGGGGUAGCCGUCGUAACUAUACUGAGACCUUAGAACUUAUAUCUCGAGGUGGGUGGCGCAUUUACGUUGUAGGUGUAUGGGCUCCAGUAACCACUUAACAUCAGGUGGGCUGUGAGCUCGUCCAUCCAUCUAAGCAAUAAAAAAAAAAAAGGUAGGUAAUGAAAAUAAAAAAAAACUGAUUGUAGUUACAUACUACUAGUAACAUAUAUUGGAGCACUUUAAUACAAUUUUAUUGUAAAAUAUAAAUUAUAUUCUUUUAUAAUUUGAAAUUAAUGAUUAACUCUUCACACUCAUUGUUCAUUCAUGUGAUUGAACGAGAACUGAACGCAUCACUAUUACUUUAAAUCAUAGACCUAUAUAGUAGGGACACGACAUGUUGUUCUAUACGUACAAUUGCUUAUAUAAAUAGCACCCAUUUUGAAGGCACACACAUAAACAUAUAUCUAUCUCGUUCUUACUCAGCACUUUAACUCGCAGGAAAACAAUAUAACAGUAUUUCAGUGCGUACAUAAAAUUAAACAUGAAUAUACGUAAAUAUCUCCAUCUCCGUCUAAUGAGGCCGAAAAUCCGCCAUGUUGAGCGCACCAAAUGUCAUUGUCACGUCAGUUCGGCCGUCUGUUUUGGGUUGUACAUUAAUUAUUGACUUUGAUAUCGAUUUAAUAUGAUUGCUUAUAUAAAAUUUCAAAAUUUAUCAUGCUUAGAACAUACAAAAAUAAUAAUUAAAACGUAUUUUAUAUGAUCUCAAGAAAGUCGAUGCCCCAAAACUAUUAUCUAUAUAUAUUUAAAUUCAUUUUGGAGCCCUCAUCAUUCUUCGGUCGGAAUCUAUUGAUCAUGACACUAAUCACAAAUACCUCUUUAAAAUAUGUCAUCAAAACAUAUUUAGACAUUCUGUUCAGAUAUUUCGGGAAAAAGGCUACCUACAAAAUCUCUUCGGAACUAUUUAAAUAAAAUAGUUUUAUUCCGCAGUGAGUAAAAAAACACUAUUGUAAAUUCGUUAAAUAUUUAAUAAUUACGUGAUUUUAGAGAGGAAGUCACAAGGAAUGACGUUUUUAAUAAUGAAGAAAUGUUCUGUAGGUGUUUUUUUUUUCACGCGGUCCCUUGAUAAGUUUAAAAUUUGAAUCACUCUCAAGUGAAAGUAAUUCAAAUGGUGCGGCGCACCUUCCUUGGGGUUCGCUGCGGUAGUGGUUACGGACUUUAGAGUCAGCAAAACAAUUAAAAUAGAUUGUAAUAGUCUAAGAAAAACACGUACUCAAAAUACGAUAACAUUUAGCAUGCUAGAAAUGGGCAGAUGGCACUGUACUACGCUAUAUCUUGAUGUUUUGCGACAAACGACAACUUUAUAAAAUCAGUGUAGCAACUUUUAAAAAUCAUCAUAUCGCUUACUUGGCAAAUUCGAAGGACGAACUUGUCUUAGAUUUCACCCAUCUAAAUCAUAUCAUAUUUGCACAAAACAAUAUACCUACUUACUUCCCAUUAAAGUAUAAAUUCUACAAAUAAAUAAUACUCAACAAUAUUUAAAAUAAAAUGAGCCAAGAACGUUUAUCGAUAAAACCUGAUAACAUUGAAAUCUUUUGUACAGCACUAAAACCGCCAUGUUUUGUGGUCAGAUGACGUCACAGUGGUACGAAUUUUUGGUUGAAGUUUCAUUUCCAUAGGUUUCCUACUUUAGUGCUUUAAAUAUAGCAACAUUAUUUCACAAAGUGACAUUAGCUGCUGUCAGCUGGCUUCGUCUAAAUAAAAAUCCGACUAUAGCUGGGCCAAGUGUGGAAGGAUUGUCUCCACGAUUUAAUUGUGAUAAGGUACAUUUCUACAUAUUAAAAGUAAUAAUAUGAAUACCUACUUCAAUAUUUUGAGUAUUCUAAAGACUCUUUACAUUUUUAAUCCUUAUCUGAUUUUAAGCAAACUUUGCAUUAAUUAUAUACUGGGCUUAAUAUAGAUUAAUCAACUAUAACUAUGAAAAACUAAAUGUAACUAGGCCAAGGUACUACAAAGUAUUUUCUCAAUCAAUGUUUAUUAUUUAUCACAUGUUUUUUUUUUAGAUACCAGAAUGUAAAGAAACAAUUAUAAAACUUCCAGUGAGUAGUGAAGUAGAAGAUAAUCAUAGCAAGAAAAGUACCGGUCUACCUACUGAUGACUGCAGUGUGAACAUGAUGGACAAAUUUAAGUUACACAUCCAAGACACACCUCCAGUUUCUACCAGUUAUUCAGAACGUACCCUCAAUCGCUUUAUUGUGAAAAAGAAACGGUCAACACCGUUACGAAGAAAUCUAGAGAGUUUCAAGAACACAAUGGAAAAUUAUGGUGAUUUGUCACAAAAGAAAAAGCAAAACAAGACAAAAUAGAACAUGAAUUGAGAUGUGACUUGCUAAUGUUGGAAAUAUUGUUGAAGAAAAAGGAAUUAAAUAGAUAAAAAAUAAACACUAUGUAAAAGUUGUUUUAUUUGUAAAACUAUUACAAUAAUUAAACUAUUUUAGUUUUUAAAAUGCAAGAUCUGUUUAUUUGAUGUAACAUACUAAAAUGACUAUUUAUUAACAAUUGUGUUUUUAAAUGAUUGUUGUUAUCCCUAUUUCCGUUAUCAAUAUUUAUUGGGUGGCUAGACAAAUCUAUUGAAUUUUGUAUUUCUAUAUCCAUGCUUGGAAUUCCAUCUCCGUUAUUUAUGCAUAUAUUAUGCAAAAUGUACAGGCAACAAUAAUGUCUUGUACUAACUCUAGAUUUACUCUCAUACCAAUUGAUAACACAGGAAAGCGUCUUUUCCAUAUCCCAAAGCGCCUUUCUAUACAACUUCUAGUGCGAAUAUGAGACUCAUUGUUUGUUGUUGAACUAACUGAGUGGACUGUAGGUUUUGUGGUUCUUGUGAAAUAUAAAGACUUUAUCACUAUUACUGGGUGUUUAUUGAUAUUUAUAGAAAGUACAAAGGUUUUUACAGGCACAGCGAUGGAAGCGAAUUUUGUGAAUGAAAAUUAUGACUGGUUUAAGACCUAGUGAAUGAUUUAGAAUGAAUGACAUUAAUGUAGGUUUGCUACACUCAUUAUAAAGUUUUUCUGCUGAUGUCACUGGAUUCUGAAGUGGUGUUCAUAAAUAGUUUUUCAGUUCAUAUCCAGCAUCACCAAGAAGAAUAUUUUGUCCUAUUUGUCCUGAUUCGAAAACAGCACACAAACGACUGUUACUAAAAAUAGUACUGUCAUGACUAGCACCAGGCCACCUAGCAUGCAACAUCCAAAAAAUUUAAGUUGGAUGUACAUACUGCUUGGACAUUUGAUGAAAAGUAUCCCUUCCUAUUUCUAUAAUUUUGCCCUCCUGGGGAUUGUAAACGAAUAUGUGUAUAGUCUAGAGCACCAUAUACACAAAGAAAUCUAGCAAUAGAAUAAAAGCCAGUUUGAUUUUGUUGUUGUUUAAUUGGAGAAAGAUGAAGUUUAAGAUGGUUAAAUCUGUUGGCUGCAAUAACUUUUGUUACUCUUUUAAUUGUUUUUCCUGCUGUAGUUUGAUGAACUCCACUGAAAUCUCCAGCUGUUAUUUGCAUACUUCCAGUUGCAUAGAAUCUAAGCGUAAGCAGGAGUUGGUUCAUUGGGGACAAUGCAUUGUUCCUGAAAUAAUAUAGUCUGUCAGUAUAGUCUGUAAUAUAAUGAGUUAAUUAUGACAUGUAAUUAAAAACAUGCAAUGAAAUACAGAAAUAUACAACAAAAUUAUAUAGCCUGUGUGUUACGAGGGCUGCACUAAAAGUAUCGGGAAUGGAAUAUUUCCACUGCUCCUGUCAUAUUAAAAUAUUUUUAAUUGAAAACUCCUUGGUUUUAAAAAUCGAAUACCAUUUAUUUAUUUAAAAAAAGAUUCUCGGUCUUGUCACGACGUUUUGUCAAACUUGUUUAGUCGUUGAGAAAAUGGAAUUGACUCGAGAAAAUUCAAGAGAGAUGAUUUAUUAUGACUUUCGAAGUGGUUUAACACAAAAACAGUGUGUUGACCGGAUGAUUUCUGCAUUUGGUGAUGAAGCCCCAUCCAAAACCACAAUUUAUCACUGGUUUGCUGAGUUUCAACGUGGACGUGUCAAGCUCAGUGAUGAUCCCCGUCAAGGUCGUCCAAAAACUGCAGUCACCCAAGAAAAAACUGCAGUCACCCAAGAAAACGUUGAUGCUGUGCGUAAGCUGAUUGAGGAAGAUCGACAUGUGACAUACCGCGAAAUUUAGGCAACUUUAGACAUUGGCAUGAGUCAAAUACAAAUAAUCUUGCAUGAACAAUUAGGUGUAAAAAAGUUGUUUUCCCGAUGGAUACCGCAUUCGCUCUGUGAAGAGCAAAAAGCGGCUCGCGUUACUUGGUGCGUCAGAACUCUCGAAAGAUUCCACGCAGGAUCCGUAAAUGCUGUAUACAACAUUGUAUCAGGUGACGAAUCCUGGAUAUACGCGUACGAACCCGAAAUAAAAAACCAGUCACGAGUUUGGGUGUUCGAAAAUGAGUUAUUGCCAACAAAAAUUGUUCGUUCACGGAGUGUUGCAAAAAAAAUGGUGGCCACGUUUGUCUCCAAAACCGGCCAUGUUACGACUAUUGGACGACUUGAGGGACAAAGAACGGUUAAUGCGGAAUGGUAUGCUAGCAUUUGUUUGCCACAGGUCGUUUCUGAACUCCGUAAAGAGAACUGCAACCGCCGCAUCAUCCUCCAUCACGACAAUGCGAGUUCUCACACCGCGCAUAGAACAAAAGAGUUUUUAGAGCAAGAAAACAUAGAAUUAUUAGACCAUCCGCCGUACAGCCCCGACCUAAGCCCUAAUGAUUUCUAUACUUUCCCUAAAAUAAAGAAUAAAUUGCGUGGACAAAGAUUUUCAUCACCUGAAGAAGCUGUGGACCCCAACUUCCGAAUGGAAUGGUUGCUUCAAUGAUUGGUUCCACCGUAUGGAAAAAUGUGUCAAAUUUCGCGGAGAAUACUUCGAAAAGCAAUAAAUACAUUUUUAAAUAGUAAUGUUGUGUCACUUCGUUAAUUCCCGAAAUUUUCAGUGCCGCCUAUGUACCUACUGUACUUCCACAUGUCCAAAAUGUGGUACAGUAGGUACACAUAGGUUAUAUAAUUUUUUUGGUAAUUUACCUUUUCAUUUGGAAAGCAAUUUAUUAAGUAUUCGAUUUUGAUGUAAUUAAAAUAAUAUUUGCCGUGAAGUAGGAUGACGAAUUUGGUUUUCAAUUUCACAUAAAAUAGCUUGUGCUGAUGUUUUGGAAACACGAAAAAACCGUAUGAAUUUUAUAACGUCCCACUCAUACCAUUGAUUGUUUUUUGUACGAAUAACGUACUAUAAUAUAUAUAUAUGUAUAUAUAUGUCAGCACGCGCCAGGGAUGACUAAGCGAUAGUUUCCGUCAUCACUCGUAUUCGAUUGAACUCAGUUCAGUCAAUAAAACUUUCCGAAUAAUAAUUAUUGAAACUCAACACACACAACUUUCACAAUGACAGGGUAAAUCGACAGUUUCGUUUUACAUACCGACUGACUGACUGUCAGAGACUGACUGACUGUCAGAGACUCACUGACUGAGACAGACGGAAUGACUGUCUGACACGGAAUGCCACGACUCUGUCCACGUACCGCCAUUUUAUACUGUGGCGUUACGGAGUCUACCCUACAUUUUUGUGAUAUUUAUCAAAACAACAUUUCAUCAUUUAAAAUAAUAGUCAAAACCACCGUCUUAAUAUUACUAAAACUCGUUAUCCACGACAUAUAUAUAUUUAUAUUAUUAUAAACCAUUUAAAUCAUCGAUAUCUGAAUCUGAAUCACUAUUGUAAUAUUCCACGUUGCUGGUUAAUAUCAAAAACACUCAAAUACAAAAUCUUUAAUGUUAUUGACAAUGACAUAUUUACAUCUAAUCCAUGAAGGAAGGUUUAAACGCCCCUCUGGGAAGGUUUAAACUUAUUGGUAGUUUAAACUGUGUUGGGUCGAUGAUCUGUCAUUGAUAUUACAAGAGAAACGAAAAGGACAGAUUAAACUGUGUUCUCUAGUUUAAACUACGAUUGAUAUUACGGCCCUUAGGGCCUGUCCGCACAGCGAUAUUUCACCGGUUUUUAUUUGUACACACUGCGAAUAAAAUUUCGUACUAUUUUCGUCAGUUUUAAUCAGUUCUCGGCUGAGACGCACGUCUAAAAUGGACAACCGAACAAAAAUUUUAAUUUAUCUAAAGCUAAAGCGGCGUAACAGACGUAUCAAAAGAUUUCAUGAGUAUUGGAUUCACCCAAUUACGGCAUUAAGACCCAUGAAAGGAUUUUUCUACAUAAAAUAUCAAGAGUUGCGAAAAUACAGCAAAAAGUUUUUUGGCUAUUGCAGAAUGACAAAAAAAUCAUUCGAUAAUUUACUACAACUAGUUGGUCCAGCGAUCACCUAUCAAGAUACGAAUUGGAGAAAAGCAAUUUCACCUAAAGAAAGACUCGAUAACUCUAAGGUUUAGUUACGUACCUACCUACUUAAGCCUACCUACAGGCGCGUUAUUAUCGGUUGAUAAGAUCAGAUGCGUUAUUGCCAUAUAUUAAAUCGACCGAUAAUAACGCGCCUCUGUGGGGGGGGGGGGGAAGCUUUACAGUACAGUACCGUCAGGAGCAAAAUGUUCUAGGCAACAUUCCAGUGAAUAUUUAAUAACUGACAAAGGUAAAUAAAAACAAGGAUUAAUCAUACAUCAUCAUUUAUUAAACAGAAAUUAACUUUUUUUUUAUUGCUUAGAUGGGUGAACGAGCUCUCAGCCCAUCUGGUGUUAAGUGGUUACUGGAGCCCAUAGACAUCUACAACGUGAAUGCGCCACCCACCUUGAGAUAUAAGUUCUAAGGUCUCAAGUAUAGUUAAAACGGUUGACCCGCCCCUUCAAACCGAGACGCAUUACUACUUCACAGCAGAAAUAGGCAGGGUCAAGAGGUCCUACCAUCAGAUAUUACGCAAAUUAUAAUUUUGCGGGUUUGAUUUUUAUUACACGAUGAUAUUCCUUCAACGUGGAAGUCAACCGUCAACAAUUGUUGAAUACGUAUUUUAUUAGAAAAAUUGGUACCCGCCUGCGGGAUUCGAACACCGGUGCAUUACUCAACACGAAUGCACCGAACGUCUUAUCCACGGCGACUUCAUUUAAAUAAAACAUAAUCUUUCAUAUCAAUAGCACUCCCCUCUACUAGAUAUGAAGAUUGGCUAAAUGAAGUAUUUGGAAAAUUUGAAUUGUGAAAGAGCGAAUGCUGGGUUUGAGAUGGAUCAGGCUGAGAUUGAGAAAUGACAGUAGUAUUACGAGAUAGAAUUUGGGGAGAAGGAGUUUGACGGAUAGUAUUUGGACAGGGUGACGGCGUAUUUGGGUUGUAAGAUGAAUACGAUGAAGAUGAUGGUCGAUACUGCGACAAAGUGGAACUGGCUCUAGGUGACAUGAAAUUUUCUGGUGAAUAUUUAUUUGCGCUGUUAAGUGCAUUCAGAAUUUCAAUUUUAGCGUAAUGUUUUUGCUCCGUUGAAAAUUUUCUGACCAUUGGUAUGAUCAUUUCACAAAAUGAAACAUCCUCAUCAUAUUUUUUGUCCUUCAAUAAUUUCAAUAUUUCAUCCUCGCAAUUAUUUUGAAUUCUACCCUUUUUACGCAUGCUCGUUUUAAGUUUUCUAUUUCGUAUAGCUUCUGAGUCAGUAUCUUCGUCGUCGGUUUGAUUAGUAAGGUCUUCGGCAUUGCUGUUGGUGUUUUCUGUAUCUCUGAUAUUGUUUGUUGUAUCUCUUAAAAAAGUAAUUUAAUUGUUAUGUAAACUUAUGUAGGUGCUGACUUGUCUGUUUGUAAUUUAUAUUAUUGGUAUUACAUAUUUUUUAAUGAUUAUUGCAGGUAUUUGGUUUCAGGAAAUAGCUACUUUUCGCUGUAUUACGAAUAUCUUAUUGGUAUCUCUACUAUUGGCGAAAUUAUAGAAGACACGUGUGAAAAACUAUGGUCAUGUCUACAACCUUCAUACAUACAUGACAGAACUAGAUGAAACUGGUCCCAUUACUGCUGAAAUUGUCCAUAAAAUAACCCAUUUUCGACACUGCUUAGGAACGGUGCAUGGAAAGCAUAUAAGGUGCGAAGAGCCGGAUUGCGCGGGUUCCGAGCUUUAUAAUUAUAAACGAUAUCACUCCUUGAUUUUAAUAGCGGUUGCUGAUGCAAAUUAUUAUUUCAUCAGCGUUGACAUAGGUGCUUAGGGCAGCAGUAGUACUACAAUUUUUUUAAAUUCUACAUUUUUUUUUAUUGCCUUUGUACACAAGUUUGGCACAAGUUCGUCAAUUCAACAUGCCACCAUUGAAAAACUGCGUGGUGCAGAAAACUACUCCACGUGGAAGUUCUCCAUGCGGAUGUUAUUAAUCCAUGAAGAGUUAUGUGAUUCCGUCACGGAUAAAUGGGAAUUGACGGAAGCCAUGAAGAAAAGAGCGAAAAGUCAUUGGCACGUAUUGCGUUGUCGGUGCAGCCAGCGGUCAUCCCAUGCAUCCGCACCGCCACCAGCGCACACGAGGCGUGUAAUAACCUAAGUAAGGCGUUCGGAGGGCGCGGCUUGUAUAGGAGACUUGGCAUACUGAGAAGUCUCUUCGGUGUCAAGUUAUCGUAUAGCAGUUCAGUUAUCGGAUAGCAGUUCCAUGGAAGCCUACAUCAAUAAAAUUAAAGAGUUGGCGUGUCAACUGAGUGAAAUGGAAUCCGCAUUGGAUGAUGAGUUUAUUGCCGUUAUAAUGCUAAGUGGGCUCACAGAAGAUUUUGACCCCCUCAUCAUGGCAAUUGAGAACUCAAAUGUAAAACUCACCACGGAACUUGUCUCAGGAAAACUCUUGGCAGAAAACCAGAGGCGUGAGGAGAAACAAGAUAUCACUGCGUUGGUAACCAAGAAGCCACCGAGAUGCUUCAAGUGCAAAAAUGUGGGUCAUAUUUCUAAGAAUUGUUCCAACAAAGGAAGCUUCAAGGAGUCAGCGGACGUAGGAGGCAACAAAGGCAAAAAUAAAUCCAGAUAUCAGACUAGGAACAAUCCGAAGCAGAAUAUCCCAAAGGACAAAGCGCUCUUUGCAGCUCUGUCUGUAAAAAUAAGUAGUGAUGUGUGGUACAUUGACUCCGGUGCUACUAAUCAUAUGUGCAAUGAUAAAAAGUACAUGAUGGACUUCCGACCUAAUAGUGUGGAUGUGAGCAUCGUGAAUGGUGAAAAGCUACGAACAGGUGGCAUUGGACAUGUAAAAGUAUUUGAACUUUUACAUGUCCAAUGCCACCUGUUUGAAAGACUGUAUAAGAACAAUAAGUGAUGUGUAUUAUGUUUCUAAUCUUAGUACGAACUUAUUGUCAGUAAGUGCCAUAACAAAGAAAGGGUAUACUGUUGAAUUUAAUAAUAAAUUAUGUAGGGUCUAUGACAAACAUGAAUGUCUAGUAACAGGUACACAGACAAGUGGUGUCUAUCAGCUGGAUACUGUGUCAGACAACGGCUGUGUCGUCGCUUCGGCUGUGAUGGCUUCGGCAAAGAUUCACACUGCUAAUGCGGCAACGAUGUUAUCUCAGGAGGUAUGGCCCAGAAGACUCGGGCACCUAAACUCGAGGAGUAUGCAAUUGCUACAAAAAGGUAUGUCUAGUGGCAUUUCAUAUAGUUUGUCUGAUUUUAAACAGUGUAUUCCUUGUAUAGAAAGUAAACAAAGUAGACUCCCUUUUCCCAAAAAGUCACACACUAGAGCUAAGGAAAAAUUAGGUCUUGUACAUAGUGAGUGACCUUUGUGAUCCCCUUCAGGUCCCUUCAUUCAGUGGUGCUAGGUAUUUUCUAAGUUUCAUUGAUGACUUCUCCAGGAAGCAAUAUGUUUAUUUUUUGAAUACAAAAAUGAAACUUUUCGGUAUUUCCAACAAUUCAAAGCUCUUGUUGAGAAAGAAACGGGAAAGGAAUUAAAAAUACUUAGGACUGCUAGGGGCGGUGAGUAUAUGGGUGAGUUUCAGGAAUUUCUCAAGAAGAAUGGCAUCCAACACCAGAAAACUAUUGCGGAUAGUCCGCAACAGAAUGGUGUUGCUGAACGGGCCAAUAGGUCCGUCAUAGAGAAGGCAUGGAGUAUGCUGCGGGAUCCUAGGCUGGGAAUGAAAUUUUGGGCUGAGGCUGUGAACACUGCCGUAUACCUUAAGAACCGAAGUCCAACCAAAGCUGUGAUAGGAGCUACUCCGGAGGAAAAAUGGUCCAACAAAGGUAAAUCUGCACCAUUUAUGAAUCUUUGGAUGCAAUGCCUAUGCAAUGAUAAAGAAUAGGAAGAAAUUAGAAUCAAAAAGUAAACCAUACAUAUUUGUGGGCAACAGUUAGGAGUCAAAAGGCUAUAGACUCAUAGACCCACAUGAUCCCACGUUGUGUUUUUGCCCGUAACAUAGUUUUUGUUGAAACAAAAUUCUAUGAACAAAAAAGUGUGUCACAUGAUGAAAAUUCAGACCAACACAUGUUUGUUGACAUGAGUUUAAAUACAGAUGGUCCUCAUGAGUUGGAGCUACCCACUGUGAGUUCUGAUGUUUCUGAUGACACAAUAUUAUCACAGAGCGGACACAGAAAACAGAGGCAUAGCGCAACCACAUUGGACGGUUCUGAUAGCGGAGAAACGGAUUAUGAUGCAAAUGACUGCUUGGAUGAAACAUGUUCCAGGGGACGAUUCACUAGUUGAAGCAGAGGAGACAGAUUAUUCAUAUGAAGAUUUGCAAGACUCUCCGCAGCAAGCAAGAGGGCAAGCUUCGUGAGAUUAGUCGACAACCCUGAUGAUCCCCAGACUGCAGCCGAGGCCUUAAACGGGCCUGAAUCGAACAGUUGGAGAAAGGCAAUGGCAGAUGAGUAUAAUUCCUUUGUUAAGAACAAGUGUUGGACCCUGACUGAGCUUGAACCCAGCCACAAACCAGUCAAAAGUAAAUGGAUUUUCAAAAGAAAAUAUGGAGCAGAUGGAGAGUUACUAAAGUAUAAAGCUCGUUUAGUGGCCAAGGGUUACACACAGAAGUACGGUAUUGAUUACCAAGAGACUUUUUCACCAGUGGUAAGGUACUCUACAAUUAGGAUUUUACUUGCUUUAGCAGCUGAACAUGGCCUGUCCAUUGAGCACCUGGAUGUCAAAAUGGUGUUCCUUAAUGACGACCUCGAGGAAACUGUAUACAUGGAGCAGCCAGAGUUCUUUCAAGAAAAAGGAAAAGAGAACAUGGUGUACAGGCUAAAUAAAGCUGUGUACGGCUUAAAACAGGCAUCCAAGACAUGGUAUGACAAAAUUACAAAGAUUUUGUGUCACAAACUACUAUUCAAGCAAUUAAGCACUGAGCCAUGUGUCUACUUUAAAAGUGAAAAUAAGUCUAUGAUGAUAAUAGUUCUCUAUGUCGAUGACCCAUUGUUUUCACAUCCCCCAACUUUCAAGGAAAACAGAAAAUAAAGAGAGCACUGGAGGAAGAAUUUGAUAUCACUGAUUUAGGGCCAGCACAACAUGCGUGUAUAUUGGGCAUGCAGCUGAAAGAAAUAGGUGAUAAAAUUUGUCUUAAUCAAACUAAUUAUAUAAAUAAGUUGUUACAGAAGUUUCGAAUAGACGAGUGUAAGCCUGAACGCACACCUAUGGAGACUGGUCUAAAGCUAGCCAAGGAAAAACAGGCGGAUCAGAUCUAUGACUACAGGGGCUUGAUUGGCUCUCUGAUGUAUGUUGUUGUUUGUACUAGACCGGACAUCAGUCACGCAGUAAGCUAUCUCAGUCAAUUUAAUAAUUGUUAUGGUGAAACCCAUUGGAAAGCCGCUAAACGAGUGUUAUCAUUAAAAGUUACAAUUGAUUUAAACCUUAUUUUUCUAAAAGUGGUAUGGAUAUUUCUGCAUAUGCUGACGCUGACUGGGCAUCUGACAGCAUGGAUCGUAAGUUAUUCACAGGCUUUGUAUUUCUUAUUGGUAGAUCUGUUGUUACUUGGGAAAGUCGCAAGCAACGCACUGUAUAGCUUAGAGAGACUAUUCGUGACAGGGAAGAUCGAGGGAAAAAGACCGCGCGGGCGCAGUCCGACAAGGUGGUUCGACCAAAUCCGCACCACACUGGAGAUCCUAUUCCACGAUGCCCUUCAUGCGGCCAAUGAUCGGAGGCGCUGGCGGAACAUUACAAGGAGCAAAAUCCUGUCGACAUGAUGGUCACGACUCUCAGCAGUGAGGAAACGACGCGAGGAGGAGUUCUGCGGCGGAUGAAUCCCUAAAAAAGAAGAACUCUGCUGUCAAGAAAAUCCCUUCUCCUCCAUGGUGGGAUACAGAGUGCACGGAAGCUAUUAAAAAUAAAAAAAUACAGAAAAAGACUUUUUUCGCAACAUCAAUUUGACUAACUUUCUCCAAGUACGUAAUUUAGAAGCUGGUACAAAGCGGUUACUUAAAGAUAAAAAGCGUAAGGCAUGACGAAAUUUCUGUUCCUCUCUUUCCCCAGAAACUCCAUCAUCGGUUAUUUGGAAGAAUAUGAAAAAAUUUAGAUGUUCACGUUCACCAGACAACCUAAACAAUAUUUCAACUGCUUGGGUGGAUCAAUUUUUAAACAAUCUAGGCCCCGCAACUGUUCCAUCCUCUGAUUUAAUACCGUUAGAUUUUUAUUUAUGGAUGGAAUUCCCUAUUCUUUUAUUUGUAAGGCGAAAAAGUCAACACACCUCUAUCUUCUUAAUUUGUUAAACCUAAUAUAUAGCAUUGGUACUGUUCCACCAAAAUGGAAACAUCAAAUAAUCAUUGCUAUCUCUAAACCAGGUAAACCAGGACACAUGGUGUCAGAAGUAAGGAAUUUAAGGAAAUUAAGGAAAAUAUUAAAUAGAAAUACAAAAAUAUCCGUGAAAUUAUGUUCAAAAUGGAUAAAGUCGAAAACACACAACAUGGCGGACAGGGACGCGCAAGUAUCACGGUGUCUUUGGAGACAGGUUUUAGUAUGUGCUCCCGAUUUCUCCUGAAUGUUCCUUCUGGGGACUGAAUAGUAUAUAUAACUACGACGUUCGUUUUCUGCUUGUUUUAUACGACCUGGAACCCAUGAACUAUUGGGCUUGUGUUUGAAAUAUAUUUUAUCACCAACUUGUAAAUCUGACAACUGUUUUGUGUGUUUAUUAUAAUAAAAUGUUGAAUAUUCUUUCUGCUUUUCAAUGUUUUUAGAUAAUGUUUUAGGUGGUAAUUGAGUGUGUGACUGGUAUUUUAGAUGUGCUGGAGAAUAACCACUUUGUUUUGGUGUAUUCCUGUACAUAAGCAUUGCAAUUAAAGAUGGCGUUAACGGUUGAAUUUAUUUAUCUGUUAACUGGUAAUUGAUAAAUUUUCUUACCGAUAUUUUUAUUGGUUGAAAAUACCGGUAAAUCUUUUCGUUGAAAAAUUAAUUUUGCUAAUGUUAAACUUGAAUGGUAGAGUUUCUUACAUUUAUUUUCGAUUCAGUGAACUUUCCUUCAUACUUCUACACUGUAGAAGUAAGAAGUAGAAGCUACAGGCUUAGGGCUGACUAGCUUAACUAAUUAGUACGAAAUGAUAAUAUCUUAUAAUAAUAUUUAUUUAUACGCUAGUUUUUUUCCUAUUUUUCUGUUAUUGUUAUUUAGAACGUAAUUACUUAUUUACAUUUUUAUUUAUAUCAACGUAGUUGUUUUUUUAUUAACUUAUUUAAAUAUUUCACAGUAAAUUAAAUUUUAUUACAGCUUAGGAACAUAAUUUGCGCCACUUUUGAUGUUGUGAGACGAGUUCUCCGAUCGUUUAUAAUAUAUCCUGCCUUAGAAAAGGCCCGUUCACAAGAAACUGAUGUCACCAUAAUGUUGCAUUUGGUUUUAAUUUUUUUAUAUAAAAUUAGAUAUAUACAUUUGUGUAUUCGCCACCAAUCUAAUGGACAGGCUUUUCUAGAAAUUACUUUCUCCUUAAUAUACAUCUCCAGUUCUUUUUCAGCUUUUGUCUGCGCUGUCUUGGGAGCAUGCGAAGUUAUUAUCUUUAAAUCAAAUUCCCCUCAUAUAGACAAAUCAUCGUCAUCAAUAUUUUGCUGGUCUUGAAUAUCUGCCGCCACUUCUCCACUAGUUUGAAUUAAUUUUACCAUCAAUGCUACAACGAAUGCUUUUGUUUCCUCUAAUGACUGAGACUCAGAGAAUGCCACGUCUUUGUAAUGUGAAUCCAAUAGUGUGCACAUGGUAAUGUGUACAUUGUUUAUUAUAUCUCCUAGCUUUUCUGUCAGACUUUGUUUUAGUUUUCCUACCAUAUCAACCACAGGCGCAUAAAAAGUUCUGGAUGCCAGCUGUCACAAACAUACAUGAGACUCGAGACCAGGACCAUAUCGGUACUCGCGGUAAGAUAAUUUUCUCCACUCAUUAUCUUACUGACCUCAUAAAAUGGUUUUAAAACAACGCACAUUUGCUCGAUGCACUCCCACUCUUCGUUAGGUAUUAUAGGCAUAGAGAUAUUCAUAGUAACAACUGUUGCUUGAAUUGCUUCCUUUAACGUAUAAAACCUCUCCAGCAUUUAAUAAGUGGAAUUCCACCUGGAGGAAAUGGCUUUUACAAGGCUCCUGGGCUGUUGGACAUUCAAAUUGUUAAUCUGAUAUUUCAACAGUUUUUCUUUGCCAAUACAGCUCUUUUUGAAAAAUGAUACCGUUCUGGUAACCUUGUCUAUAGUAUCUUUAUUUGUUUUUAAAGCGUCCUGGACUAUUAAGUGUAAUUUAUGCUCUAAACAGCCAAAGUGAUUCCAGUUUAAAAUAGAGCUAGCUCCUAACAUGUUUGUUGCAUUGUCUGACACAAAAAAUAUAAUCUUUUGAGUUAUACCCCAUACAUCUGCUAUCGUCUGGAGUUCCUGCGCACUUUUAAUAGCUGUAUGACUGCCAUCGAGUUGAUCACAUUGUAGUAAAAUGGAUUUCAAUUGUAAGUCUUCAGAAAAAAAAUGAGCUGUGACACCCAUAUAUUGAUCCAAAGUUCUUGAGGAUCAACAGUCGACUGUAAUACAUACAUUCUCUGCAUUAUGCUUAACAUAAUUAAGAAAGUAUUGCUUACGCUCUUCAUGACAAGCAGGUAGCAAAGACGACGAUAUUGUCUUUCUGCUCGGCAAAUCGUAGGACGGAUUUAAGGCAUGUACAAAUUCCUUAAAACCAAUAUCCUCAACAAUUGAAAAGGGUUGACAAUCAUAUGCUAUAAGCUUGAUGAGGCAUUUGUCUAUAAUUUUCUUAUCACCUGGGCGAAGCUUCUUAGGUAAAUAGGACGACAUCAUGCGUUGUACUUUAUUAGGCGGUUCAUGAGAUGAGGAUGCUGCAGUUGUAGCCCUAACGGCUCCACCACCAGCGCCACCAUCACCACCACCACCACCACCACCACCACCACAACUACCGCCGUCGCCACUAACUACUACUGCCGUCACAACUACGAGCCCCAUCACCAGUUACAACCUUCCUCUGACAAUGAAAUUCACCACUUGCCCUAAGUGUUCCUCGUGUCAAAUUUGAAUAUACGCUGACGUGCUUUAAUUUUAAAUGAGAUUUCAAAUUGUUAGUACUAGGUAGUACUAACAAUUUGAAAUCUCAAUAUAAAGGUUUAUAUGAUAGAUUUUUCUUACAAUAAUUACACACUGCAAUUUUUUCCGCUCCCAAGCACUUUUCGAAAUGAUCCCAUAUUUCUGCAUUGCGUUUCGGCAUUUUAAAUUAAUUAACUUUAAAAAUCCACAACAACAAAGUAAGCAAAGUCUCAAACACACAAAAACAAAGUCAAAACACACAAACACAAAGUAAAAAUCUCUUAAAAUACAAAAACACAACUUUACCAAAACAAUAGAAAAGAUGCACUGAGCCACCAAAAUGUCAAGUACCAAACAAAAUAUUACGUUUAAAAAAUCAACCAAACACGUCAUAUUCGCUAUCGCUAUCAUUUUAAUGUUUUAACAAAAAAAAUUAUCAUUAACUGUAAAAUACCAAGUUAAAUAUUGUGCUUUAUUUUGAGGGGUAUAGAGCAUACAAUGAAAUCAUCAAAAUUCAAUAUUUACAUGAUAAGUUGAAAACAUCUGCAAGGCGUAAAUGAAUCUUACGUGUUGAAAUAAAGUUGAAACUUGCAUAUAUAUAAUUUCCAAUAAUUGCCUAUGCGACUACACGCAAUGUGUUUGUUAAACGGUAUUUUUAACCAUUUUCGGUAAUUUUAUUUAUCGAAUAGAAGUGUUAAUAUUUUUACCGGUAAAUUUAUUGGUUAAUGGUUAUAUUAGCCACCACUAAUUGCAAUCUGUAUUGUCUGCUUUACAUUUAUUCAAUACUAGCUGUGCCCGCGACUCCAUCCGCGUGGAAUAGCGACUUUGGGCAGCAGUUUUAGGACAUAUCUUUUGGUUUAUAAGCACCGUCAUUUAGGUAUUUAGAAAAAUCUAAUUUAAAGUAAUGCUUCUCUAUACACGACAUAGACGUAUAGCCAUCGGGGAUCAAAGCAUACAGGUUGCUAGGAUUGCUAACAUGUGACAGAGCUACAUAACCGUGUGACCGAGUUGACUGUGUGAAAAGCAAUGAACACACACUUAUAUCUUACACCCACAACUUUUAGCGUCUGACCUUGGGCUUUAUUUAUUAUCAUCACGAAGCAUAGGCUCAAUGGAAACGCGAUCGGUAGUGAGUUGUGCCUCCCGUUCUUCUAGUGUCUCCCGAGACCGGGCAAGAUUUUGCUGUCCGAACUCUCUGAGAUCUCAGACGGAUUUCCCUAUCAAUAAAGGUCUCAGACCAAGCGAUAGUGCAUGCGCCUCGCGAUCGGCAGUGAGACGUGCUUCUCAUUCUGCAAGUCUCUCCUGAGACCGGGCACUUACUGUCCGAACCCUCUGAGAGCUCAGACGGAUAUCCCUAUCAGUAAAGGUCUCAGACUCAAGUGAUAGUGCAUGAGCCUCGCAAUCGGCAGAGAGACGUGCUUCUCGUUCUUCAAGUGUCUCCUGUGACCAGAUAAUUGCUGUUCGAGCCCUCUGAAAGCUCAGAUGUCACGAGAACGGGAGACGUCUCGAUUACGCGAGCCAUUUCGACGAUGCCGAGAACAUCCACGUGAUGUACUUCGCGGCAUUAUUUAGGUGUAAAUACACACGCACGCACUUUAAAAUGACUAUACACAAGGAAAUAUACGUAAAAAAAACACGCAAACGAAAGUAACAAAAUAUGGUGCGGGUAGUUGUGAAUCAACGAUAUUCGACAUGGGAGUCGUAACUGUCCGUAGAAUAUCGGUGGUCUGUUCAGCGCGCGCCUUAUCGUUAGAACGUGUCGCGACAGCUUCAAUCGUGCGCGAGCGCGAUCUCGACCUCCCGCGACGGGCACUACGAGAGCGGUCCUACUACGCAGUACGCUGGUCUCAGACCCGCAAGCCAUCCCGUGAAGUACGACCUCUAUCGUUCGUAUCGCGAUUCUGUCUAUCAUCUCUGUGAUCGCAAAAGCAUGUCGUUUUCAAAAUUUGCAAUCGCACAAGAAAAUUAACAAAUAAAGUAUGAAAGCAUCAAAGUAAGCCGUAAUUGUAAAACAAAACAAAGUUCAGAGUUUUUACGCUACUGUGGGCUAUUUGAGUCAUUUAUCCCACUUCUGAUUUUAGGAAUCACGACAGAAUGUUGAGCAAAUAGGUCGACAAAACAAGUUUAAAUAAAAUGGCUUACGUAUACCGAGUAGUCCGCAGACGUCCGUACCAAGCGCCGGUCAAUGCUCAACUGCCGUAGCCGCGCCAAAUACGGUGCUUUUAUAGGCUUACUCGGUAUAGUGCGUUUAGCUAGUGGGGGUACGUCUAACAGCUAGUGGGGUACAUCUAACGAUAUAAUAAUUAUUAUUAAAAACAAAAAAAUAAUUAAAUAAUUAAAGUAGAUUCCAGCUAAAUAUAUCUCUAAUUAGGUCAUCUUCCAAUGAAUUAAAAUAUUUUUUUAAUCUGUUACAUAGUUGUCUAUCGAUUCUUCGAGAUUUUGUCUUCGAUUGAAUAGUUUAUGACGUUCCAUUGUCACAUUCAUUUGAGGAAUGAAGUGAUUACUAAAUUUCGACGCUAAUUCUUCGAAGGAUAUUGUAUCAAUAUCGACACUAAAUGAAUAAAAUAUCACUAACGCGUCUUGCCCAAUGUGAUGUAAAUAGAUGGCGACUUUGCGUUGAUCACAGUCAUCGUCCAGAUUAUUAGCUCGCAUGUAUAUUUUAAGUUGAGUAUACCAGUUUUUCCAAGUUAAGGGCAUGUUCGAGCUUCUCAUGUCUAAGAGUUUGAGCCCAUAUCGACGCCUCCAAUUAACACUACGCUAACUCCAAAUUCGUAGAUUUACAGGAGGAGCGUUUAAACGAAAAAAGUUGAUAAAAUCUUUAUUAUUGCAGAUAUAUUUAUGGUUUUUUUGUGUAACUAGCUGAUUUACUCUUGCUUCAAACCCCAUCAAUAAUGAUUAAUUGUAAUACUUUUAACAUGGUGCAGCGAUUUGCGUAAAAAAUGAAAAUUUCAAAAUUUUGAGUUAGAGUAGUGUUCAUUGGUAAGGAGGCAGUCUCCUCUCGCUGAUGGUCACGGGGCGACCUAAGGGGGUUGAGGCUGCGCCGCACGCUACCGUCACUCUAGCGCGCUGGCACCAGGAGGACGGGACGGCGCGUCGGCGGCUGCGGACUGCGAUACGGUCCGCAUUUUCGUCGUCGCUGUCGUCGCCGAACAUACUGUUGAAGAGCAACCCGGUCGGCGGUGUAUCGGUUUCCGACCCGGCAGGCUGGUUCUGGCCCAGCGGGGUAUCCCGGAACACCAGCGGCACCGCCCGGGUGGCCUGGUAGGGCCGCCGUACCGCGGAGACCGACGUCGUUGGUCGUCGACUAUCGCCUCGACGACCCGUCGGUCGGGCGUCCUCGGGAUGGCGCCGCGUGUCUGGUUGUAGUGUUGACCGCGGGAACCCCCCUACUCUGAACGGGUUCUGACCCCGGACGGAGAUCGGACGUCGGGUGUAAGAGUGCAGGGGAGUCGUUUAGUGGGUGGGCCCUAAAAUCCUUGGGCCCGCGAUCUGCUCUCAACACCUGCAGAUCGUUGAGUCUCACAUACCCCGCGCGCCCCCUAGGCGCGGGGACCUCGUAAGAGGUUCGGCCCCCGGCCCGAAAAAAAAAAAAAAAAGUGUUCAUUAGUGGCAUCGAUAUGUGACUGAUAUAGCAUUAAGUGACUUACUUGCGCGUCCCUGUCCGCCAUAUUGUGUGUUUUCGACUUUAUCCAUUUUGAACAUAAUUUCACGGAUAUUUUUGUAUUUUUAUUUAAUAUUUUCCAAGCAUGUGUCAGAAGUGAGGAAUUUGAACCAUCAUAGAAUGGCCGAGUUGUGGCAUAACUAUAUUUUAUAAUAAAACGACAUGAGCUCUGCGUGUGACUUGUUUGAAUGGCGGAAGUAGUCUGGCAGUAUUUGCAUAGAUUACAUUCUUUACCUAACAGUUCUAUUAAAAUUGAUGUAUGUUAAGCGUGUGGAGCGAUUUUAAAAAUAGCACCAACAAGAAAGCGGUACGCUUGUAUAGAUUUGCUAGUAGGACUGGUGGUGGACCUGCAUUAAAUACUUAACUGACUGAGUUGGAACAAACAGUUUUAAAUGUUAUUGGUAUGCAGACCGCGACAGGUUUAGCGGUGGCUGAGGUAGGAAUUUCGCAGGCUAUUACUAUUUUUAGCUGCUUGGUACAUUUAAGAUAAUUGUUAGUUUACAUGGGAUUUGCAUUUAAUUAAUUUCAGGAUUUUGCUGUAUCACAACCCCGAACUCCGGUACAAUUUGGCGAUACAGGUAGAUCAAAAGGCCAUUCAAUAACCCUUUUAUAAACAAAUAGGAUGGGACUGACUUUUCUUUUUGUUUGUAAGUGUUGAACUAUGUAAUGAGCCUGGACCUUCUGGUCGAAUAUAUACAGAACCAAGCACAUCCAGCGAGACCCAGGUCGAGACAACGCCUCAUAGCCAGGUAUUCAAUGUAGAUAUUGAAAUUGUAGAAAGUAAACUAUUAAUAUAUUUUAUUUACAUAACGUGAAAACAUACAAAGAACAUCCUUGUUUUUUUUACAAUCUAACAGCAUUUAUUAGCAGAUACAAUCAAGUUUUUUCUGUUGUCAAAUUUAGCAGAUGUGGUACCAACAUCAUAUCCGGAGUCUGUCGUUACUGCAACUCAGUCUCCUGUGCGGUAUGUACCAACCACACCGCGCCGUAGCCGGCUAACACAGGCAGAGCACGCUGCACUUCUUUUUAGAAACUCAGAUUCAAAUUGGACAGCAUUUAAAAUUGACCAACAUAGAGAUUACAUGGAAAUGCGAAAAGAUCGGAAUAUAGUAAGAGAAAUGGGAGUGCAGGCUCAGAGGGAAUGGCAAGUCAUAGGUUUAAUACCAUUAGACUUAUUAAAUCAAGUAGUUAAUUAUUUUUGUAAAGCUUAAAUUUGUAAAUUAGAUAUAAUUUUGUAAAAUAGUAUAACCUAAUUGUUAUCUUCAAUUAUUAUAUUAUUUAUUUAUUUAUUUGGGAAACAAACAGUACAAUAGAAACAUAUAAUAUUUUAAAAAUAUAGUUAAAACAAUAACCAAAUACGUUUCCACAAUCAAAAUUCAAAAGAGGAGAAAUUUAGAAACUUAAGUUACAAAAAAACAAAAGCAACACAAUACCCACAUAUUAUUUUGUACAUCAACUUAAACUAUAAGACUAUAAUAAUCAUCGGACUAAAUUACCUUAUAAAUAUUUUAAAAUAGCUUUUCUAUAUGCUAAAAGUGACAAGCAAAAUAUGUCAGCAUUAGGAACUUAGCAUCAUACAACCUACAAGAUCUAUGGACAAAAGAGUUGAAAGCGUAUUUCGUUCGAACCGUGGACAUGUGGAAGGUCCGUUUAGGACGCGCGGAAAUACGACUACAUUUAAGUGAAAAUUUGGAAAAAAGAUAGCUAGUAUCAAUCUCACUAUUUAUUAUUUUAUAUAAAAACAUUUGAUCCCUCAGUAGCCUACGAUCGGCCAGAGAUAUAAAUUCUGUCGGUUCUGGUGAGUUAAAGCGACGACAAUGGUAUGAAAUAUGCUUAAAAAACAUUUUUGUGGACUCUUUCCAGUCGCUCAAUAUAAAUGUUAUAUCUUCCACGUGAGAAUGUUAUAAUAGUACACUUGUUAGUAUUCACUGUAAGUUAUUUUGACAGUAAACAAAUAAGUUGUUCAAAUCAUUCUGUAAUUCCAAACAGUCAUUUAAGGACUUUAUAACUUUAUAUACUUUUUUGUCAUCAGCGUACAUAAUGAAUUUGGAUUUUUUGAAAACAUUUGAAACGUCAUUAAAUAACAUAGGACCGAGAUGAGAGCCCUGAGGAACUCCCGAGGGAACAGGUGCAAAUGAAGAACAAAAACCAUUGAAAGUCACAGCCUGACUGCGAUCUCUAACAUAAGACUCAAGACAUCGCAGCAAAUAACCGUGACCCCAAGUCCAUGCAAUUUCUCAAUCAAAAUGUCAAAAUUUAUUCGAUCGAACGCUUUGGAAUAAUCCGUGUACACUACAUCAUCCUGGUGACCAUCCUCCAUGGCGUUCAAUACGCAAUAUGGCAUUCAAUAAUCCAUCCAUCCUCCAUGGCAUUCAAUAAUCCAAAAACUCACAGAAGUUUGUCUCACAGAAGUAGAUCUAUGGCUUAUAAAACCAUGUUGCUGCUCUAUAAUAUGAGGCUUAAUCAAUGGAAAUAAAAAAUCAUAAACUAUACGUUCAAACAUCUUAGGGAUGGCACAAAUUUUAGAAAUUGGCCUGUAGUUAGCUAUGUUAUGUUUAUCACCGCUCUUAAAAACUGGCACCACGAAUUAUCGCUUCCAAAUACGGGGCAUAGCACCAGUUGAUAAUGAGAGAUUAAAAAGAAGAUGCAGUGGGUAACACAGCUGAGUGUAACAUUGUCGCAAAAAAACAUAGAAACAUAGAUACAUUUAUACAUAGAUAAAAAAAAAGACUGAUGAAAGACUGAGAAAGAUGCUAUUCUUAUUCUUUUAUUUUUAUUUAGGCUUUUUUCUUUUAACUAUUGUUUAUCUCCAUACUAAACAUAACUAACUAAAAUAACAGAAAAAAUAAAAUCUAAAUAAUGAAAUAAAGAAAUGGAUCAAUGAUCAUAUUAUAAUCUAAGACACAAUUAUUGCUGAUAUAAUCUUCUAACUAAUCCCUUAGUACCCUGUCUCUUAUUAAAUCGGCUGUAGAACUUGUUUCUCUCAUCAUCUCAUCAUGGCAUUGGUAAUCAUCAUUUUCUAGACUUUAAAAAAAAUAUAUUAAUAGGAUACAAAUGAUUUUGUCGAAUAUUAAUAUCAUUGAGUAAAAUUUAAACUUGUAUACAUUUAUAAAUUCAUACAUACAUUGUUACGACUGCUCUGGGGUAGACCGGUGUUUUAAAUAAAAGAGUGGACUGCAUUAAUAUUUAGUAAAUUUAUAAUAAGAGUAAAACAAGUAAGUGUCGCGGGUGGUGUCCGUGCAUCGACAUACAUUAUCUGCAUCGUCUACAGUAUCAUAAUUAAUGCCUCUAUUAUGCAAAACACAACGGGCUAGUAUGAUUCUAGCACAUUUUAGAGGUUUAUAAUGAAGAACCCUGUCUUUAUUAAGGCACCGCCAACGAUUUUUGAGUUUUCCAAAUGUGUUUUCAAUAACAACUCUAGCUCUCAUAUGCUUCUGAUUAUAAUUACUUUGAGGUGUAUUUGGGGGUAGCAUUCAAAAUUGGAGUCAUCAGCCAUGGAGGUUGCGGAUAGCACGAGUCUCCUGAAACAAAAAUUAAUACAGAUACAAUUUCACAUAAUCCUAUCAUAUAAUGAUAUUUUAUUAACCAACCCAGUCUCACUUUGCUGUGGUUUUAAUGAAGCUCUGGCAUGACUAACCUCUGUAGUAGAGACAGACUACUUACUGUUUACCUUUAUUCCAAUAUCGAUCAUGCACUUGUCUACCCUUUAAUUUUACUCUUAAUUUAACCAAUAUUUUGUUUACCUAAAUUAUUUUGGUGCAACAACUGCAUGUAUUGAUUUAAGUGACUAUUAUUCCAUAUAAAUGAAUUAUGAUUUGCACCUCCGAAUUUAGCAUUAACGUUGACGAUUCUAUAUUCAUCAUCACAUAGUGUAAAUAUUAUAUUCAUUUAUCUGGGAAACCGAACGUUUUCGAGUGAAAGGGAUGAAUUUAUGAGGAAGAAAGGGACGGAAGACGAGGGUCAGGUCAAGAUGGCGAUCGGGCAUAGUAAGAGUGUGAACGACUGUGAACGAUUACGACGUGUUAUCUAAUAAAUUUUGUUACUUUUCCAAAAAACUGCUAUUUACUUUGAGCAAAUCCCACAUUUAUAAUGCAGUAAAGUCAUUCUUACAAUAAUUAGAUGGUAAAGAAAAAUUUUACUUAUUUACCAUUUGGACGUUAAUAGAAUGAUAGUGUUUUCGGCAAUAAUACUGAUGCUCUUCUCUUUUAGGAAGCCCAAAUAUUCUAAAAUGAAAACAGUCUAUGCAUCCAAUUACACCUGGUGUUUGAUGUUUAUAAAAAAAUCUGAAAUUGAUAAUAUUAUAAAUACCAUUGGAACUAUAAGUACCUUAUUAACCAUUAGAAUUUCUAUUCUUUAUCCAAAUACUAGACAUAUAGUUUCGCUCAUCCUGUACUACAGCGGUCGAUAGCAUCUUCCAAGCAAAAAAAUUACGUGCUGCCAUCAUCGAAUUAUACUUAUUUAAUGGGUACCUAAUAUUUUGAUCUACUUGUACUGUAAAAACAUAUUUUUUGUAUAUUUUAUGGCCUGGUAACGAGACCUUUAUGCCAACGUAACACAACAAAAUCAACAAAAAGAACAAAAAAUGUUUUUUUAGCGACAACUUUAAUUUGCUGAAGUAAAGUGAAGUGAAGAAAUACUGACUUUUAGGCGGGAACGCGUAAAGCGAAGUUGUGUGAAUUGUUUUGUUUUGUCUAUAUAGUGAUUCUUCAGGUUUAAAUGUGUAAUAACGGUGGUUUACAUUUUGGUAAUAAAUGUGGGAAAAUAAAACAAAGCCGCUGGACGUAGCUUCUCGGAAUCUUCCAAAUAGUACACUGAAAAAGUUUCAGUAAAUAACCACCAUUUUAUACUAUAAUAAUAAUAAUAAUUUAUUUAUUAACCUUGAAAAACAUUUACACGACAGUUUGCUAAAAACUCUCCACACUAGGGACUGCCUGUCUCGUGGAGAGCUUUUUACAGAAGUAUCUUAAAACUAGUAAUAACGGUGCUGAAUAUACGAGAAAAUCAAAAUAGGUAAGCGAAUAUUAUGCAUGUAUAUAUACACACACAUAUAUAUAUACCUACAUACACACACAUACCCACACAUACACAUAUAUAUAAAAAGAAAAGGAACAGGUGUAAUGAUUUUUACCAUAGGUAUGUGUUUAGGGUCACUUAAUGCAUUUCAGAAACUCCUCCGAAAAAGAGUAGGACCAAUUAAGCAGUUCUUUUGUUAAUUUUCUUUUAACUUCUUCGUAAUUUAGGUUAAGAAUUUUGUAUUUUUUGUUGAGUCUGUUAUACAAGUAUGGUUUCAUGUAGGAGCUAAAUCGGCGAGCAAAAGCCGUCCUAACUGAGGGCGUCGGGAUUAUAGGAGUACGUUUUGUAGCAAGAACUUUGAAGUUGGUAAUUUUAGGAACUGCUCUGUGGUAAUCAAGGGCUGCCCUAAGGAUAAAUAUUCUUCUCACGCUCAGAACCCGAAAUUCUUUAAAGAGAGUGUCUGUGGGAUACCGAAAUUGUUUCUUUAAAAUAGUUUUCAAUACUGCUCUCUGAGCUCUUUUUUUCUUUCUUUUUACUGAUAUUAUAUUUCAUCCCAUAUCAUCUGAUCUCAUUUCAUUUCAUUUCAUGUCAAUUCAUCAAUGUUUCCAAUUAAUCAACUUUAUUUCAUUUCUCUCUAUAUCAUAUUUCAUUUAAAAAAAAAAUUUGGGCUGUAUGGUAAGAUAUCUUUGCCUCUCCAGUUAAAAAAUGUAAUAUAGAAAUACUCGAUCAAAAUGUCAGAAUCCACUAAUUUGUAACUCGCACUCCCACAAAUGUCAUUCGUGGUACUUCGGUAAAAUUACUCGAUUGCGAGACGGCAACGUUAAUAUGAACUCGCGCUCACAAAAUAACACCGGGUACGUUUGCCGCCAGGGGCGCUGUUCCAAUUGCAUACAAAUUUGAGCAAACUGGCUCGCUAUCGAGAACGUUAAAAAACCCGCACCAAGCACACAGAUAUCAGCACGCUGGAUUGGGGGAUAAUGGGCGAAAUAUGCAGUUUUACAACCUCUUGAAGUGGUUACUUGUUCAAUAAGUGGUGAGGGAUAUUUAACCGGCUACUUGUUCAAUAAGUGGUGAGGGAUAUUUAACCGGAAGUAUUAAAAAACUGUUUGUGAUGAGUUUUUGAACAAAAAAGAAUACAAACACUACAGACUCUUUUAUCCAGUAGUUGUGGAAAUGAUCACGUCUCUACACCCAGGUUUAAGAGAAUGAUUUUCUGGCGUCGAACACAGUAAAAUCAUUGGUCUUUGUACGUUAUUAGACCCUAGGUUUAAAUUACUGUUUUAAAAACGAGCAAGCUGUCGCAGAAUUAAAAAAACAUGUUCACAUGUUAACAGUAAGUAUUAUUAAUAAAAACAAUUGACAAAGACAAAUGAAGAUGUUGAAGAGAACUGAAAAAAUAUUGAAAAGGUUGGCGCUUGGAACAAAUUCGACCAACUUCAGCCCAAGCGAGAGCUAUCAGAGAACUCCACAUGUAUCUGGACGAUGAGAUGCUGCCUCGCAAGAAUAGCGAGGAAAAGUGGAAUAGCCCCUCGCAAUGGUGGAAGGAUCAUAAAAUAAUUUACCCUCACCUAUCGCAUUUAUUUAGAACAAAAUGCAAUAUUGCGGCUACGUCAGUACCCUGCGAGCAAUUAUUUUCGAAGACAGGGCUUAUUAUAAACGAUAGAAGAUGUCGUCUGAAAGCAAAAAAGUCGAGCAGCUUGCAUUCCUUAAUGCAAAUCUACCCUGAUUGACUAAUAACAACUACUCUACUACUAAUUGAUAAUUAUAUUAAUUAUUUAUUAUUUAAUUAUCAUUCAAUGAAUUGUUUGUGGAAUUAGGUUUAUUAACUUUUAUCUUAUUUUUUGUGCAAUUGACGAAACUGCUGGUGGAUAAUAUUAAAUGAUUAAGUGAAUAUUGUUGCUAUUGAUGUUAUAUAUUUUGUAAUUAUUUAUAACGAUUUUAAACAGUGAAUAGUCCCACAACGGCAACAUGCCCCCAUCGUCCGGGUUCCACACAUGUUUUUGUGAUGCCCCGGGGUCUAAAUGUGCAUAUUUCUCACAUGCAUAAGGAUAGUCCGACACAGCUGUCGAUACUGCCUCGGGUGCCGUGUUCUGUAAGUGUUGAUGCUCAUCCACAAGCCCAGAGUGUUAUCCAUACUCUGGACAAUUUGCCAUUUUAUCAAAAUAAAAUUCCUGUGCUUAAGCACAACCUUAAGGGGACCAGGAAUUUAGUCGCAGGAAAGCUCAGAGUCAUUACAGACAGCUGUAUAAACAAUAACGGUGUAGAAGACUGGGUUUCCUUGUUGUCCUAUUCUUACACGACUGGAAUUCCAGAUCGAAGUGAUCCCUGUUCGCUUACUGCAAAGGUUAAGGAAAAUGUAAACAAUACCAGCCUGUAUGACUUCAAACACAAGCCACGAUCCGUUAUCAAAAGAAUCGAAGCCAAGGUUCAUGAGGGUGAUUUACAUAGAGCUGUCCGUCUUUUAGAGUCGGAGGAUUCUUUAGUACCUAUUAAUGAUGAGACCUUAAUCGCAUUACGUGAUAAGCAUACCAUACCUUUUCGUCCUUUAUCAUUGCCGCCAUAAAAGUAAAAUAGUUUUUUUUAAAUAUUUAUUUCAUGUUUUUCCCAGACAAUUUAUCGAUAAAGAAUAUCGGCUUUAUCAAGCACUAGCGUGUAUGAACAUUUUUAUUGCCUUUUUGCGUGUGUGAAUGUGUAUGCCUACGGAAGUUAGUGUUAGUAAGCUUAGUAAUAGUCGAACGAAUAUCUGCCCUGAGAUUUAUGUGUGCGUGAUUUUGUUGUGUGCGAAAUAUUUGUAAUCAUAGUAUUGCGUAUGUGUAGAAAUUAAAAUAGUGGGGGUCAAGCGGCGACACUGGUCCUAAUACAAAAUUAGGACAAAGGCCUUUCCAUUUAACUGUACAUUUUUUGAAGGGACUAUUAUAUAUAGUCGCAAUAUUGGAGUAACAGAGUUGAGUUCUAAUCAUGCUCCGAGUUAUAUCGCAGAUAGACUUCAGUUAACUCUGAACAAUUGGAACAUUUCUAUACCUAAAAUCCGAUGCGUGGUUUCAGACAGUGGUGCUAAUAUAGUGGCAGGAGUUAAAUUAAUUGUUGGUGACUGUAAUAAUUUGCCAUGUUUCGCUCACACAAUUAAUUUAGUCACGGAAGUAAUACUUAGUGGCGCAGAGAUUAAAGGGUUAAUUAUUGUUAAGGAUCUCUAAAUCCCCCUCCAAACAAGUUUUUAUUCUCGCCCACCACCGAGCUUCACUUCAUCGAGCGAUCGCGAACACAUAUACAUCUUUAACGACUACAUUAUCUACUACAAUAUUGCACUUCAUUAUUAUUUGUUCUACAGUUUUAAUCUUUUAAUAAACCUGUAAAUACGAGCCAAAUCGUUUCAUUGAAGAGAACAACAAGACAUUCAGCAAGGAACAAUUAUUAAAGUGCGCAAUAUUAUAAAACUUAUCAAAAAUAGUGUAGACAACUCUGAAAAAUUGCAUAAACUUCAAAUUGAAAAUUGGCUUCCCUGAGUGUCAAGCAUUUCGGUUACUACGCUCACACGCUUAAUUUAAUAGCUAAACACUGCAGACGAAAGAGUACGGGAGCUAAUUAAUAAGGUGAAAACGAUUGUUUCACAUUACAAAAAGAGUGUUAAGAUAAAGGCAAAUUAGAGAAAAAAUCAAAUAAAGGCACCAACGAAAGGUAGGAUCCUAUACUUUUCUUUUUUGCGUCUGUUUUCCUAAAAUGUUAAAUUAAAAAGUAGAUUAGAUUUUGUAUAAAAAUUGGGUUAUGUAUCCAGCAGUGGCACUGUGACCGUCUAUAUACUGAUAAUGACAUGGUUGACGGACGGACGAUGAGAUAAUUCGUUUGUAUGCAUACGAUUUAUACAAAGCUUAUGUGUUUGUUAUUAUUAAGUGGCUAGUGGCUGUAGUUUUGGGGUUGGGAUUAUUGAUAUUUUGCAGAUUAUCGAUCUAUCGAGUGUUAAUUUUUGUCUUUAUGUUUCAGUUCAAAAAAUACAAUAACGUGGCCAGCUCAAAGCAUUUAAUGGAAUAUGAUCAAUCCCAACCAUCUUCAUUUAACAAUGGCAAAGAAAUAGAUAUUUAAUUAAAUAUUAACAAAUUAAUAUUAAUACAGAUAAUAUUAGGAUUAUUAACAAAAAUAUAAAUAUUUAUUUUAAUAUCCAAUUAUAUUAAAAUAAGUUUUUUUUUCAGCCGGUGGUACAAAGUAUAACAGAAUUGUUUAAGCAUUGAUAUUUUUAAUCUGUCAAAAUAUGCAUCCAUUUAACAUAGUUGAAGGUGAAGGCCUUGAAGACUUUUAAAAGAACUGGAAUCUACUUUUAAACUUCAUAAUGCAAAGUAUUUAAAGAAAAGUACUACCGAAAAGUACGCAGCUCGUGUUACUAUUUUUAAGUCCAAAUUAUGCAAGAUAGACAAUUUCUGUUUAACGCUAGACAUAUGGACAGAAACAAUCAAUGAAGAAGGAUUCAUGGGAGUCACCAUACAUUUUGUAGAAAAUGGUAAAAUGUGUAUGUAUUAUUUUGCAACUCGUGCAUUAAGUGAGCGAUAUACAGCUAAUUACAUAUUGGAAAACCUGCUUGAUAUUUUGAAAACAUGGUAUAGUCCACCUACCAAAAUUCGUGCAGCUGUAACAGAUAAUGCCAGUUCAAUGUUGGCUUACGAAUGUCUUUAGGCGAAAAAAAACCUUUAACGUGUUUUGCGCAUACCAUAAAUCUUGUAGUUGAAGAAGCACUAAAGUUACUCAGUGCUGAAUCAGCUGUUAUAAAAGUACGAGAAAUUGUUAAUUGGAUUAAAAAUAGUGUUGUGCAGUCGGAUAAGCUAUGAAAAAUGCGUAAUAAUGUUUCGGAAGAAUCAGUUUUAAAACUUAUUGCAGAUGUAUUGAAGUAGAUGGAACUCAACUUUUUUAUGUUAGUGCAAAUCCUAAAGUUAAGAAUUGUAAUAUCAGAAAUUGUAAUUGAGAGUAAUAGUGACUCCCAAGGGACAUGGGACACUCUCCAUACAUUGCACGGCCCACUAAACGAAGUUCAAGGACAGUAAUGAAAUUAAGUUUAAAUAACAGACUAUAUAUCCCUUUUAUUUUAUUAUAAACAAAUUAAAAUCAAUAUUGUUCAUGGGGAUACAGAGAUAUUUAAAAAAUAAGAUAAGAUUUGUAGGUUACCUAUAUCAUAUAUUUUGCUGUCAAUACGCUUACACUUUAACAUCAUCAUCAGCUUAAAUAUUAUUUAUAUUACUAUACUUUAUAACACAGACCUAAUUCAAUGAACGCCAAGACUUAAUCUUAUGCACAACAAAAUAUAAUAAGCAGGUAUAUCGCAACGAAACACUUAAUAAUAUCCACAAUGCGCACGAGUGCGAAAACGAUUGGUCAAAUAUAAAACGUCAAUAAACAAUAAACAAGCGUAAUUUUUUUUUUUGCUUAAGAUCAAUAAUUAUUGAUCAAUGUAAUGUAAUGUCUACGGAUUUAAAAGUAUAAAAAUAGAUUUUUGUUUAGAUAGAAUGUUUUAUAUUAGUUUUAAAAUCCAUUAAUUAAAUAUGUUAAUAUAUUUUGCUAGUUUUUUGCAAUAUAAUGUCUUUUUCAAAAAUAUUUAAUGUGUAUUGUUUAAAAUAUAAAUAUAUUUUACCUAUGGCAACUCCUUCAAUAUUAUUAAUGUAGCUUAGUCAUGCUAAUUUCUUUUUAUUUAUGAUUUUUAUUAUUCCACCAUUAAAAUACCAUUAAAUUUUAUAAUAAGUAUGUAAAAAUGAAAUGUUUUUUUUCUGUAGAUAUUUCAUUCGCGUCCUUGAGAGCAUGAGUAGCUAGGCCAAAAAUGGCCCAUGUCCUUUGCGAAGUGCUGUGGAAAUGGAAACCCUGAAUGAGCUUACAGCUGUAUUGAAGCCUUUUAACAAUAAUAAUAAUAAUUCAAGCCUCUUAAAAUAUAAACACGAAGCGUCAGAUAUGACUAGGUCUUUGAAUUCUUGCUUUAAAUUAUCUAAAUCAGCCAUUUUGAGAGUGAAGUAACACAAAAUAGUCUACUCGCCAGCAAAGAAAAGCUGCAGUAUAAAGUCCGUGAGAUUCUUGGAAGACCUAGUGUAGAGAAGGUACUAUAAUUUUUAUACUUGAAAAGGAAUAAGAUCCUUCAUAAAGUAUCGUAUUUAACAUAUAAUUAAUAUAUUUUAUGACUUGGUUAUGUUUGAGCGUGUGUCCUUUGUAAAUACUUUCCUAACGAAAUGAAUAUAAAUAUAUAGUCCGAAAAAAGUAUGAGUGAUUGUAAAUAUGUAAAGAAAGUUAUUCCUUUCUUUAAUUUGAAGUAUGUCACGCAUGCGCUGUCGACAUGUGCCGGAACGUCCGCGCAUGUGCUGAUAAGUCGAGAAGCCUUGACAGAUAAACAAUAUGUCAUUGUGUAAAAUUAUAUAAAAAAUAAUUUCUAUUUAGAUAGUUACAAGAUUAUAAAAUAAACUUUAAAUGUCGUGUCUUUGUUCUUUCGGAGCAACACAUUGAAGUUUUAUUUUAAUAAAACAACAUUACCUAAUAAUCUUAUAAAUAUAUGAGUGAAUAGAGGAUUGUAAUAGUGAUGUAUGAUGUGGAGGUGGCUAUGGUUACAUAAUGCAGUUAUUACCUUAUAAAUAAUGGGAAAAGAUAGUACUUGGUCUAGUCAAUUUUUAUUAAUUAGGUCCUUCAAGGUUUGUUCAUUUUUGAUAAUUAAUAAUAAAUAAUUCGUAAUAAGACGUUUCCAUUAAAUGACCAGCAGAACUGAAAGUUAUUUUCCUUUGCAAAAGUGCGUCUAGAGAAUAAGAGCUUCUACGUAUGCAAGGGUAAGUAUUCUGCUACAUAUAUUGAUUUGGGACCUCCAGGAAGGCCAAUCAGCUCAGUAUUUAACUUUUCUGGAUUGGGCCGCUUUUUGUUAAAUUCCUUCGAAGCCUUGAUAAACUUCAAUUUGCCUCGACCCGCAUAAAUUCCACAACAAUAUUCCUAUUAGUGUUGAGCAUAUUUACUUUGUCCACUUCAUGAUCUGUGCACUACUCUAUGGUAAUAUAUGUGUUAGUCUAUAAAGUAAUGUAUGAUUAUUGUAUCAAUGGCAAUAUGCCAGAAGACACUUCUGCUCUGCUAAUAAAAUUGUGCUCGUACUUUUGUGUACUAAGUUACCAAAAGAAAUCUAAACGCUUCCACUGCGCGACCGCCACUACUAUGGAGUUUAGAAGCAAUUCAGUUAGUGAAGAACAAAUACAGUUGUAAUAUUAAAAGGCAAAAGUCAAGAGGGACAAAAAAGUACAAGGGAAUUACUUGGUACUAAAAUGGUGGACGACACUUCGAGAAAAUUACUUCCAGAGUUUACUGGAACCAACUUCAGCAACAGACGCUUCAGAAUAAUUCGCUCUCGGUGCAAUAUUAUCACAAGGAAUAGUAAGAAAUGACAAACCUGUGGCGUAUGCCAGCCGAACUUUAAAUGAUGCUGAAACACGGUAUAGUGUAACUGAAAAAGAAUUGCUUGCAAUCGUUUGGGCAGUCAAACAUUUUCGACCCUAUCUUUAUGGUAGAAAAUUUACAUUUGUGACUGAUCAUAAACCCCUCACUUGGCUUAAUACCCUUAAAGAGAAAAACAGUAGACUGACCCGUUGGAGACUUAGACUAUCAGAAUACGACUUUAACAUCAUUCAUAAAAGUGGAAAACUGAAUAAUAACGCAGACGCCUUAUCGCGUAUUAAAAUAAAUGCCUUAGACAAAGAUAAUAAGCUCAUUGAAAGUAAACGUUGACAAAGAUAGAAAUAGAAAUAAACAUGUAAAAGAAAUUAUUAAAGAAAUAGAAAAUUUGCGUAGAGAACCCGAGGAAAAUUUAGAAACUACGUCUAUUUCCGACACAGACUCUGAGAGAACUUUAACAGCCCAUUGUCGCUCACCUUAUUCAAUACCAUACUCUAGUUUCACCCUGACCGCAUCCGAAAGUUCACCUAGUAACACAGAAACUGCUCAUUCCGCACAAGAUACAGAAUCGAAAGGCAUUCCUAUCUUACAAGAAGCCAUAGAUAUAAAAUCAAAUCAAAUUUUAGUCUAUACAUGGCUUAUCGACAAACUCUCAGUAAAAAAUUUGUCUAGAGAAAAACAAAGAAUUUUAGAAGUCCACCUACUAGUUAAUCGAUCUGACCUUGUUAAACAGUUUCUUAAGGAAUGCAUAAAGAACAAUACUAAAUACUUCAUUUAUUUCGAAGAUGACCACCAUAGGAGACAAUUUACAGAAACAGUAAUCUUUUUAUUCAAAAAAGAAAUGGUACAAUUUUUCGAAUAUACUAAAAGAGUAGUUUUUAUUGAAAAUGAAUUAGAACAAAAGGAAAUCGUUGAAAAAUAUCAUACAGGUAAAACAUGUCACCGAGGUAUAAGAGAAACACUUACACACAUUAAACGCACAUACUUUUGGCAUAAAGUGGAACAAACUGUUUCAAGUGUCAUAAACUCUUGCGAAGUAUGUAAACGUAAACCCCUCAGAUCUACACUACAAUUAACACAGACACAGACUAAACCUUUAGAAGAACUUUUUAUCGACUUAUUUACUAUCGAAGGACAUUACUUUCUUACUAUUAUUGACGCCUUCAGCAAACUAGGACAGGCACUAGAAUUUACAAACCGAUCUACCCCUGAAGUAGUACGAGCCCUAAUAAAAUACUUUUCAUUUUAUGGGAUACCCCAAAAAAUUAGCUCGGAUCCUGGUACAGAAUUUAAUAAUGCACUUCUAAAAGAACUCUUAUCAUUUUACAAAAUAGAUUUACACAUCAGUACACCUUAGUAAAUAAUAGACACGUACGUUGCGUUCACCGUUUAUUGACACACUGAAGUGAAUACUUGCUUACAAACAUAACACCUCCACCCUUAUUUACUACACAUUAUAAGCAUAAUUAAUAUAUAUAUAUCUUAACUAAGCAUAACUAACAAACUAAAGUAAAAAAAAACAAAGAGAGGUUAUAACUAUAUACUUAAUCUAUUUCCUCGAAUCCAUAUCUAACUGGUGGCUUGCGUAUUCCUACAGGACGUUCACGUUUGGGUGUCACAUUUUCAUUCAUACUCUUACCACCAGUACUACAUGCUCCCUUGUCUAUCGGCACAGCGGGUCUCAUAGGGCUGCCACGAAUAGGCGAUACAGCAUCUUGUGCCGGUGUGCAAUUUUUUGGUGGUGAACUGUAGUCCUAGCACGAAUAACUUGCGAAAAUGUAUUCGUAACGUUAUCGAAUUAUAUUUGUAUGAGAUUCGUACAGCGCCCCUAUCGUACGUAAAAGGAACUAAUUUUGGUAGCACGAACAAAUUUCGUAUCGCAAUCGUAUCGUCACGUAAACGAUACUUGAACCAUAUAAACAAUGAAACGCUAUAAUUGCGAGCACGAACACUGUUUUGACGUACGGUAAUGUAAAUUUCGAAGGCUGGGUAUCGAGUAUUGUCGAAACUUUAUUCACUUAAGAUUUGUUGGUGAGAAAGGUUUCGUAACGUGUUUAAAUAUAAUUUUAUCCAUGUUUUUAUUUUAUAAGUAAUUUUUUAUAAAUAAUAGUCUUUUCUUAUCACUUUAGUUAGUUCUUAUAUACAAUUAAUUUUAAUAAAUUGCGCAAAAUGCAAAGACCACCGUUGUACGAGCGUAGUCCCUUAUAUUAUUUUGUUGCUGCAAGUUUACUUGAAAAUGAAGAAUAUUCAUCAAGAGAAGUUAGAGAAAUUACACGCAGAGUUGCUCUGAGAAAGAAAAAUAAUCCUGUGGACAUAAAUGACGCGGAAUUCAAAAAUAGAUACCGGUUGAAUAAAGAAUCAUUCAAGUUUCUUUGUAAUCAACUUAAGCAAAAAACAUCUUUAAAAGCAAGUUCCAGGAUAAGUUUGGAACUUAAGGUUCUUUGCGCGCUAUCUUUUUAUGCCACUGGAUCUUACCAACGCUUAGUGGGAAUGGCUAAAUAUUUGGGCCAAACGACUGUUAGCAAAUGUGUGAAGGAAGUAACAGAUGCUCUUGUAACUCCUGCAAUCUUAAAUACUUUCAUAAAAUUUCCUUAUGCCAGAGCUGAUAGAGAUGUAAUAAGAAACAAAUUUGUGAUAGUGAUUGUCGUAUUUUAAACGUAAAUGCGAAAUACGGAGGAGCCACCCACGACGCUUUUAUUUGGGAAAAUAGCGUGGUCAACAAUUAUAUGCAGAGCUUACAUCGAAAUAACGAGCAAGUGUGGUUGUUAGGUGAUUCUGGUUAUCCACAGCGACCCUGGUUAAUGACACCAAUUUUAGAUGCUGUUGAGGGAACUCCAGCUUAUAAAUAUACAGCAGUUCAUGGAAGGACCAGAGUAGCUAUUGAAAAUACUUUUGGGCGACUAAAAAACCGAUGGCGUUGUUUGUGUAAGGAUCGCACAUUACACUAUGCUCCAGUAAAAUGUGCAAAAAUCAUAACAGCAUGCUGUGUAUUGCACAACUUAGCCAUUGAGUUCAACGUACCUGAACCAGAACCAGCAGAGAUUGAAAACCCCAAUUUGGCUAUGACAAUAUCUGAACAUAUUUUUCAAGAGAAUACUACAGGAGAUGGGUUAAUUAGGGGUAGAGCUAUAAGAAGUAUUUUAGCGGAUAAAAUUAAUAGACUUCAUACAUAAUUUUACUUUUGUUUAUUAAUUUUGUAAAAAAUAUAGUAAUUGGUAAUUAUAAUUAAGUAAUUGGUAAAAUAAAAGUAGUUGGUAAAAAAAUAUAGUAAUUAAGCUUAA